RNAcentral lists this unclassified non-coding RNA (317 nucleotides) under uncultured Trichocomaceae. Its description in RNAcentral is "sequence contains ITS1". The stretch from base 1 to 105 matches the Rfam family "5.8S ribosomal RNA", at positions 50 to 154 of the family's 154-position model. The record is from RNAcentral. Lineage: Eukaryota; Fungi; Ascomycota; Eurotiomycetes; Eurotiales; Trichocomaceae.
GAACUGCGAUAAGCAGUGUGAAUUGCAGAAUUCAGUGAAUCAUCGAGUCUUUGAACGCACAUUGUGCCCCCUGGCAUUCCGAUGUGCAUGCCUGUCCGAGCGUCAUUGCUACCCUCAAGCACGGCUUGUGUGUUGGGCCGCCGUCCGUCCCGCUCCGCGGGGGGGACGCGCCCGAAAGGCAGCGCCUGCACCGCGUCCGGUCCUCGAGCGUAUGAGGCUUCGUCACCCGCUCCGUGGGACCGGCCGGCGCCAGGCUUCGUCAACCACUUCGUUUCUCGGUUGACCUCGGAUCAGGUAGGGAUACCCGCUGAACUUAA